Molecule: long non-coding RNA, 440 nt
Filed under: Crocodylus porosus (Australian saltwater crocodile)
Lineage: Eukaryota; Metazoa; Chordata; Crocodylia; Crocodylidae
Description: lncRNA (ENSCPRG00005018712.1)
Source: RNAcentral
CGAGACUGUCAGACACUGCGUGUCCAACGUUGUGGGGAAAAGAAAUCACCAAAUCAGGAAAAGGCCCAGGGUGACUAUCAGGGUGCUGAGCAGGAUGAAGCUGCAUUGGUUGAGUUGCUGUAGGGACCGAGGGCUUCAGCAGAGGUGUGUUACAGACAUAACUCAGAUCGAGGCGCAGACUGAGCCCAGCACAUAUCAGAGCAUAACAUCCUCCGAACAAGUCUCAGCCCCGCUCUCUGUUUAACCUCUGUGGAGCAUGUGAUUAUCCGCAGAACAACUGCUGACCGCCAUGGGAACCCAGACUGUUGUUAAGUCUAUGUAUGCCAGGAAUGGGCAAUUAUUUCGGGCAGAGGGCUGCGUACUGAGUUUUGGCAAGCCACCGAGGGCCACAUGACAUGCAGCCAUGGGCAGAUAAAUAUUAAUUUUCUAAAUUUUUUAGG